AAGCGCCAAAGGUACAUGGUUGUGGUUGAUGAUGUAUGGAGUAGUGAGGCAUGGGAUGAUGUUAGCAAUUGCUUUCCUGAUGAUGGAAAUGGGAGUCGAGUAUUGUUAACUACUCGCCUUGCAGAGGUGGCAAAUUAUACUAGUUCCGACAAUGACUUUUCUCAUCACAUGCAAUUAUUGGAUCAAACUGAUAGUUGGAAUUUAUUUUGUGAAAAGGCAAGUAAAUCUCGUGGUGCUGAAUUUGAGAUAAUCGGGAAGCCAAUUGUUGAAAAGUGCAAAGGUUUGCCUCUUGCAAUAAUUGUUGUUGCCGGACUAUUCUCCAAACUCAAUAGACAAAAUGAGUGGGAGAAUAUUGCAAAAGCUCUAGAUUCUUCAACAACAACAACUAUUGCGGCAACAUGUUCAAAAAUGCUCUCACUGAGCUACAAUCACUUGCCUCACCAUUUAAAGGCAUGCUUUUUAUAUUUAGGGAUUUUUCCAGAAGAUAAUGAGAUCAAUGCUAAUGAGCUUUCAAGGUUAUGGUCUGCGGAAGGACUUGUAAAGGCAACCGAGAAUGAAAACUUUGAUGUUGUGGCUGAAAGGUACAUACAAGAACUUAUGGAUCGAAACCUAAUUCUUGUGAGCAAGUGGAGUUGUUGUGGAAGAAAAAUUAAAGCGUUUGGAGUGCAUGAUUUAUUGCUUGCAUUUUGUGUAAAAGAAGCUCAAAAGGAGAACCUUUUGCAUGUUGUUCGAGAAAAUGGUUCAGAUUUUCUUCAAAGAUGCUUCCGUUGGGCGAACAGUGGGAGCUUCCAGAUGAUGACAAAUUCUGCCAGUUAAUUGUUUUGAUAAUUGAUAGAACUGAUCUCGAGGAUUGGAAAGCCACUCGUUAUCAUUUCCCAAAACUUGAGCACCUCUCCCUUUUUUCAUGCGAGAAGUUGAAAGAGAUACCUAGCGGGUUUGCAGAAAUUUCAAGAUUGAAAUCAAUCCAAUUAAGGAGCUGCCGUCCUUCUGUGGUGGCUUCAGCCCAGGAAAUCAAGGAAGAACAACUUGAUUAUUUGAAUAAUAUUGUGGAUGUGGUUGUGGCGGAGCAACAUGGCUACUCUUGGGUUUCUGAGACUGAGUAUGAUGAAGCUUAGUUUGAUGGAUGAAAUUGACUUGUGCCAGAAGAGUAGGAGGAAAGCUUGAGAAAAAUGAGUAUGCAUGUCUAUCUAUCAUUGUGAAUCAUAAAAUUUGACCUUGCAACAUUGUAUUGUGUAGGUCUGAGUGAGAAAGCUUGCAUCACUUUUCUAAUUAAUUCAUUUGUGCUACUUUAAAGCGAGUUAGACUCGUCCUUUAAUUUGUUGUGCUUUUUGCUUUAAAAACGUUUGUUUCUAUUUCAUUCAUAAGGUCAUG
This is an RNA transcript of Ipomoea nil (Japanese morning glory), 1371 nucleotides long. It is a transcript of the gene named putative late blight resistance protein homolog R1C-3, with no coding region annotated. NCBI's taxonomy places the organism in Eukaryota, Viridiplantae, Streptophyta, Magnoliopsida, Solanales, Convolvulaceae. The transcript is spliced from 3 exons. The record is from RefSeq and is a predicted model, not a curated record.